AUUGAACGCUGGCGGCAUGCUUUACACAUGCAAGUCGAACGGCAGCGCGGGCUUCGGCCUGGCGGCGAGUGGCGAACGGGUGGGUAAUACAUCGGAACGUGCCCAGUAGUGGGGGAUAGCUCGGCGAAAGCCGGAUUAAUACCGCAUACGACCUGAGGGUGAAAGCGGGGGAUCUUCGGACCUCGCGCUAUUGGAGCGGCCGAUGGCAGAUUAGCUAGUUGGUGGGGUAAAGGCCUACCAAGGCGACGAUCUGUAGCUGGUCUGAGAGGACGACCAGCCACACUGGGACUGAGACACGGCCCAGACUCCUACGGGAGGCAGCAGUGGGGAAUUUUGGACAAUGGGCGAAAGCCUGAUCCAGCAAUGCCGCGUGUGUGAUGAAGGCCUUCGGGUUGUAAAGCACUUUUGGCGGGAACGAAAAGGACUGUGCCAAUACCACGGCUCGAUGACGGUACCCGCAGAAUAAGCACCGGCUAACUACGUG
RNAcentral lists this ribosomal RNA (484 nucleotides) under uncultured bacterium. RNAcentral's name for it is "partial 16S ribosomal RNA". It matches the Rfam family "Bacterial small subunit ribosomal RNA", at positions 29 to 507 of the family's 1533-position model. The record is from RNAcentral.